This 1769-nucleotide ribosomal RNA is filed under the name Lankesteria metandrocarpae. Its description in RNAcentral is "SSU rRNA". It matches the Rfam family "Eukaryotic small subunit ribosomal RNA". Lineage: Eukaryota; Apicomplexa; Conoidasida; Eugregarinorida; Lecudinidae. The record is from RNAcentral.
CUGGUUGAUCCUGCCAGUAGUCAUAUGCUUGUCUCGCAGAUUAAGCCAUGCAUGUCUAAGUGUAAAUAGUUUACAGUGAAACUGCGGAUGGCUCAUUACAACAGUUAUUGUUUGCUUGGAGAAUUUUACUACGGAUAUCCGUGGAAAUCCUACAGUUAAUGCGUACCAGCUCUUCGGAGUGUUGCAUAUUACUGUGAACUUUUUACUUUUGGCUGGCAACAGUUCAAGAGUUUCCAAUGAACACUUUUAUGCGCGAAUCGUAUCUAGUAUACGAGAGUCCAUCAAAGUUUCUGACCCAUCAGGUUCCGACGGUAAGGUAUUGGCUUACCGUGCCUAUAACGGGUAACGGGGGAUUAGGGUUCGAUCCCGGAGAGGGAGCUUGAGAGAUAGCUACCACAUCUAAGGAAGGCAGCAGGCGCGUAAAUUACCUAUCCCUGACUCAGGGAGGUAGUAAACAGAAAUAAUGACGCAGGAUGAAAAUUCUUGCGAUCGGACUGAGUGGUUUCUAAGUCAAGCCAUGAACACGAUUGGAGGAAAAGUCUGGUGCCAGCACCCGCGGUAAUACCAGCUCCAAUAGCGUAUAUUAUUGAUGUUGCAGUUGAAACGUUCGUAGUCGAACUUUAUCCGCUGAAGCAUAUUGUCAUCUUUGAUGAUCAACUUGCUCACGGCGGAGAGUGUGCAAUCCUUGAGAGUUUCUCUUAAGGUUCUUUGCAUCUUACUUUGAGUGAAUCGGCGUGUUCCACGCAGGCAAGUGCCAUGAACGAUUUACCAUAGCAUAAAAAUAGUAUGAGAAAACUCCCUUAAAAAGUUCGGGGGUCUUUUCGAUACAGAAAAGAACGGUUGAGGGCAUUCGUAUUCAACUGCUGGAGGUGAAAUUCUUUGAUUAGUUGAGGACGAACCAUUGCGAAAGCAUCUGCCAAGGACGUUUCUUUUGAUCAAGAACGAAAGUUAGGCGAUCAAAGAUGAUUAGAUACCGUUGUAGUCCUAACCAUAAACUUUACUAUCCAAGAAUUGGAUUGGUGGUCUUACGCCUUUCCAGUGCUUUCUGAGAAAUCAUAAGUCUUUGAGUUCUGGGGGGAGUAUAGUUGCAAGGCCGAAACUUAAAGGAAUUGACGGAAGGGCACCACCAGGAGUGGAACUUGCGGCUUAAUUUGACUCAACACGGAAAAACUUACGAGGAUAAGACAGGCGAAGGAUUGACAGAUUGAUCGCUCUUUCUUGAUUGUCUGGGUGGUGGUGCAUGGCCGUUCUUUAGUUCGUGGAUUAAUUUGUCUGGUUAAUUCCGUUAACGAACGAGACCUUAACUUGCUAAUUAGAAUUGCACAUUACGUAUGUGACUAUUCUAUUAGAAGGACCAUGUGUGUCUAACACAAGGAAGCGUGAGGCAAUAACAGGUCUGUGAUGCCCUUAGAUAUCCUCGGCAGCACGCGUGUUACAAUGAUGCAUAUAAUGUGUUUACAUUCCCCGAAAGGGCAAUGGAAUCAUCAAUAUGCAUCAACCCAGGGAUUGCUUGUUGGAACGUCAAGCAUCAACGAGGAAUUCCUAGUAAGCGCGUAUCAUUAGUUCGCGUUGAUUACGUCCCUGCCCUUUGUACACACCGCCUGUCGCAUCUAUUGAUUAGGUUGUAUCAUGAGUUAGGUGGAGGAAAACAAGUUCCGUGAGGAGUUUGUGGUCCAAAGCUUUGCAAAUGGUACUGCCCAGAAACAGAUAAAGUCAUAACACGGCAGCUGUAGGUGAACCUGCAGAAGGAUCAAGGGCGAAUUCCACAG